UACGAAGGGGGCUAGCGUUGCUCGGAAUCACUGGGCGUAAAGCGCACGUAGGCGGCUUGUUAAGCCAGGGGUGAAAUCCUGGAGCUCAACUCCAGAACUGCCUUUGAUACUGGCGAUCUCGAGUCCGGGAGAGGUGAGUGGAACUGCGAGUGUAGAGGUGAAAUUCGUAGAUAUUCGCAAGAACACCAGUGGCGAAGGCGGCUCACUGGCCCGGUACUGACGCUGAGGUGCGAAAGCGUGGGGAGCAAACAGG
RNAcentral lists this ribosomal RNA (253 nucleotides) under uncultured bacterium. Its description in RNAcentral is "partial 16S ribosomal RNA". It matches the Rfam family "Bacterial small subunit ribosomal RNA", at positions 524 to 776 of the family's 1533-position model. The record is from RNAcentral.